CAGCCGCCGCGGUAAUACGAAGGAUCCAAGCGUUAUCCGGAAUCAUUGGGUUUAAAGGGUCCGUAGGCGGUCUUGUAAGUCAGUGGUGAAAGCCCAUCGCUCAACGGUGGAACGGCCAUUGAUACUGCAGGACUUGAAUUAUUGGGAAGUAACUAGAAUAUGUAGUGUAGCGGUGAAAUGCUUAGAGAUUACAUGGAAUACCAAUUGCGAAGGCAGGUUACUACCAAUUGAUUGACGCUGAUGGACGAAAGCGUGGGUAGCGAACAGGAUUAGAUACCCCCGUAGUCCCUGUCUCUUAUAC
RNAcentral lists this ribosomal RNA (301 nucleotides) under uncultured bacterium. RNAcentral describes it as "partial 16S ribosomal RNA". It matches the Rfam family "Bacterial small subunit ribosomal RNA", at positions 509 to 807 of the family's 1533-position model. The record is from RNAcentral.